CUAGCCGCCAACCCUUUUCGUGCCCACUCCGCCUCAUUCUCCUCCCCGCUCGCUCCUAUCCUCCCCCAUGCCGCCGCCCCCUUCCCCCCGCUCGCCUCUGCCGCCUCCUCUCCUUCCCCGCACGUCCGGCCUACCCCCUCCUCCCUCCUCCUCCAUCCUCCCUCAUUCGUCAUCACGGCAGACCAUCUCCCGUCACUUGGGCCCCAUGCUGGCGGCCGGGUCGGGGUGGAGGCGCAGCAGGGCUGCAGGGGCCCUACGUGUACUACCUCUACAGCCAGUACGGGUUCGACAAGGGCGACAUCGGCCGCCUCUUCAUCGCCGGCUUUGGCUCCUCCAUGCUCUUCGGCACCAUCGUCGGGUCGCUCGCCGACAAGCAGUGCGUGGGGAAGGAAGAGGGCGUGCAUCACCUACAUCCUCAGCUGCAUCACGAAGCACUCGCCGCAGUACAGGAUUCUGAUGAUAGGCCGUGUGCUUGGAGGCAUUGCAACAUCGCUGCUCUUCUCGGCAUUCGAGUCGUGGCUCGUGGCGGAGCACAACAAGGGAGAGUUGACUGAUGUACAUGAGACCCAGGCGAAAAUGAGUGUGCUAGCGGAGGCUCCAGGGAUGCAGGGUGAUAGGGCCCAGUCUAUGCUCCGGUUGUGUUGUUGGGGAAGCUUCGGACGGGAUUUAGAUAAGGAAAAGGAGUCCCGUGCGAAAUCGAGCGUCCUGGUGUUGGGACUGAUGAUCCGCACUUGUUGUCUAAAUGCAGAACAUGCGCAUUGCAGUGCUUUCUAUCAGUACCGACGACCACAAAUGGGAUGGAUCGAGCAACCAAGACUCAGAGUGUGGUUGACAGUGCGGCCUGCUCCCAACCCUGCAGGUGCCUUACUGUACCAUGCCGUCUCCUGCGUGCCAUGCCCAUCAAACCCAACCAUCAUAUGA
This 921-nucleotide ribosomal RNA is filed under the name Triticum aestivum (bread wheat). Its description in RNAcentral is "partial small subunit ribosomal RNA". The record is from RNAcentral. Lineage: Eukaryota; Viridiplantae; Streptophyta; Magnoliopsida; Poales; Poaceae.